This 244-nucleotide unclassified non-coding RNA is filed under the name Daphnia pulicaria. Its description in RNAcentral is "uncharacterized LOC124328872, transcript variant X1". Lineage: Eukaryota; Metazoa; Arthropoda; Branchiopoda; Diplostraca; Daphniidae. The record is from RNAcentral.
AGUGGCCGACAAAUCUUCUUACCCGUCUUCCGAUGAGAGCAAUAAUCCUCGCCGCCGUGCCCGCGGCAUUGUCAUCCUCACCUCCGUCUUCCUUCUCUUCACUUGUCUCUUCAUGGUCGGCAUUACCUUGCGAUUAGCUCCUCUCAUUGACGACCUCGUGCGCAAGGAAAAUGAACUGCAGACGAUCACUUCCAUUUCCAGCAACGGGGACAUGAACAGCACAACCGGCAGCACCGGUUUAUUG